Molecule: unclassified non-coding RNA, 582 nt
Filed under: Hevea brasiliensis (rubber tree)
Lineage: Eukaryota; Viridiplantae; Streptophyta; Magnoliopsida; Malpighiales; Euphorbiaceae
Source: RNAcentral
AGGAACAUUGUUUACACUAUACUUAGGAUAUAACGUCGACCAAGAAAUCAUCGAGGUCAACGAAUUCUUCGCCGGCCAAAUGUUUUCCCGAUGACAUAAAAUCCGCUAGAUUUAACGGCACGUCAAUAUCGAAUCCGAAAGCGUCAACGUCACCGUAACUGAAAUUGUCAUCAAACGUCGUUAAUCCUUCAUAUCCGAGGACCGACGUAGGGGAGGACGUGACGGCGCUUGGUGAAUCGCAGGAUUCACAACCAUCCCUUUGACUGCCUAUGUCUUCCGUCAUAGCGGGGUUAGGAAAGUUCGUAACGGCGUUAGAGCCUUUGAGUUUCACUGCAGCUCUAUCAUACACAGUGGCAGCCUCCUCAGCGGUGUCGAAGGUACCGAGCCAAACCCGUUUCCGGCGGUUUGGAUCUCGAAUCUCGGCGGCCCAUCUGCCCCACGGUCUCUGACGGACACCUCGGAACUUCUUCCGGGAAGUGACGCCAGAUUCCGGAGAUCUCGAAGGUCUCCUUUUAGCAAUAAAAGGUGGUGGACCUGAUGGUCUGGUUUGCUUAAAGCUGAUUUCUCUGACGUGCCUCUUCA